UCUCCGUUGGUGAACCAGCGGAGGGAUCAUUACAGGACUCGCAAGACUCCUACACCCUGUGAACCUCACUACAAGCACGUUGCUUCGGCGGGUGUCCCGGCGGGGGUUUUCCCUCGCCGGGGCGCACAGCCCGCCGGCAGACUACUAUACUCUGUCUCUUUGCGUUGGCAUCUCGAGAAAAAACAAACAAGUUAAAACUUUCAACAACGGAUCUCUUGGUUCUG
RNAcentral lists this unclassified non-coding RNA (224 nucleotides) under plant metagenome. RNAcentral's name for it is "partial contains small subunit ribosomal RNA, internal transcribed spacer 1, and 5.8S ribosomal RNA". The record is from RNAcentral.